CCCUAGUANACUGCGAGUGNAAGCGGGAAGAGCUCAAAUUUAAAAUCUNGGCGGCUUUUUCAGUCGUCCGAGUUGUAAUCUGGAGAGGCAUUUUUCCGCGUUGGACCGUGUACAAGUCUCCUGGAACGGAGCGUCAUAGAGGGUGAGAAUCCCGUCCAUGACACGGACCGCCAAUGCUCUGUGAUAUGCCUUCGAAGAGUCGCGUUGUUUGGGAAUGCAGCGCAAAAUGGGUGGUAAAUUCCAUCUAAAGCUAAAUAUUGGCGAGAGACCGAUAGCGAACAAGUACCGUGAGGGAAAGAUGAAAAGCACUUUGAAAAGAGAGUUAAACAGUACGUGAAAUUGUUGAAAGGGAAACGCUUGAAGUCAGUCGCGUUCCGUGGAACUCAGCCUUACUUCGGUUUGGUGUACUUUCCAUGUGAACGGGUCAACGUCAAUUUUGGCCGGUGGACAAAGGCGAGGGGAAUGUAGCGUCGCUUCGGUGACGUGUUAUAGCCCCUUGUUGUAUACACCGGCUGAGAUUGAGGACCGCAGCACGCCCCUUUGUGGCCCGGGGGGGUUCGCGCCCCUACGUACCGUGCUUAGGAUGUUGGCAUAAUGGCUUUAAGCGACCCGUCUUGAAACACGGACCAAGGAGUCUAACAUGCUUGCGAGUGUUCGGGUGGAAAACCCUUGCGCGUAAUGAAGGUGAAAGUUAGGAACCUCUUCCUUUGAGGGGGUGCACUGACGCCCGGUCCUGAAGUUCUCUGACGGUGCUGCGGUAGAGCAAGUAUGUUGGGACCCGAAAGAUGGUGAACUAUGCCUGAAUAGGGUGAAGCCAGAGGAAACUCUGGUGGAGGCUCGUAGCGAUUCUGACGUGCAAAUCGAUCGUCAAA
Molecule: ribosomal RNA, 872 nt
Filed under: Fulvifomes yoroui
Lineage: Eukaryota; Fungi; Basidiomycota; Agaricomycetes; Hymenochaetales; Hymenochaetaceae
Description: partial large subunit ribosomal RNA
Rfam family: Eukaryotic large subunit ribosomal RNA
Source: RNAcentral